RNA transcript from Alnus glutinosa, 2366 nucleotides. RefSeq lists it as uncharacterized. The record is from RefSeq and is a predicted model, not a curated record. NCBI's taxonomy places the organism in Eukaryota, Viridiplantae, Streptophyta, Magnoliopsida, Fagales, Betulaceae. The transcript has 10 exons.
CUCAGAAAGAAAAAAUUGAUAAUUCUGAGAUUGGAUUUCGUUGAAUUUUCUGGAUAUACGCCUGUCGUAGUUCCACGUAACCACCAAAGCAAUUCAAGCAAAAGACCAGAAUAGCUGAAAAGGAGAUUCAUCCUCCAAAGCACCGAAGAAAUGAGACGGUGAACGCCAGCUACAACGACACGAUCGAAAAUGGCAACGACGAUUCAGUCCGAUAUUCGUUCGGCUCUGCACAUGGCAUCCUCGACCUUCCGUUCUCUCAGCCCCAACCUCAUCCUCUCACGCGCCGCCGCGCGUCGAGCUCUGCCGUAUUAUUCCUCCUCCUCCCCGACGGCUACAACGAAGUCGUCGCUCAUCUUGAGAGCUUUCUCCUCCGCGGACUCCGCGAGCGACGUCGUUCUGAAGGUUCCGGAAAAGCCGUCCAUGUGCACCGCCGACGAGCUCCAUUAUGUCUCCGUGCCCAGCUGCGAUUGGAGGCUCGCCCUCUGGCGCUACCAUCCAUCCCCUCAGGCGCCUCCGAGGAAUCAUCCACUGUUGCUGUUGUCUGGGGUGGGAACUAACGCCAUUGGAUACGAUCUCUCUCCUGAGUCGUCAUUUGCUCGAUACAUGUCAGGCCAAGGUUUUGACACAUGGAUCCUUGAAGUUCGUGGUGCUGGGUUGAGCGUGCAGGGAUCAAAGUCUAAAGAAAUUAAGCAGUCUGCCUAUGAAAGAUCUGAGCAGAUGGAAGCUGCUUCGAGGAGUACAACUAAUGGAGCUUUUCCUGUGGAAGCGCAGUCAACCAUUCCUGGUGCCUUGGAAGAAUCUGAAACGUUUUCUGUCAAAGGAGAAGAAUCUGAGAGUAUAGCUGUUGAGGGAGACAUGAUGGGUACAGCAACAGUGUGGGACGAAUCAAGACUAGUGAUGAAGUUGACAGAAACCUUUAUGCGUUUGUCAGAAAGACUCUCUGGUUUUCUCAGUGAAGGUCAGUCCAGGAUCAUGUAUGCUAAAUUUUUUGACCAGAUAUCAAAGCUUUUGGUGGAUUCUCAAUUAUCUGAACGAUUUAAUGAGAUAAGGGAAAAACUAUCAAAUUUGUUGGAAACAAGACAAAAUUCCAGUAUUACUAACCAAAUCUGGGAUCUUAGUCAAAGAAUUGUUAGUAUCAUUGAAGAGGGUCAACGAUCGGUUUCACCUCCGUUGUUUGACUUGCAAGAGCGUCUCGCUUCAACGAUAGAGGACUUUCAGAAACAACUUGACUUGAUAGUGAAAUAUGACUGGGAUUUUGAUCAUUACUUGGAAGAGGAUGUUCCAGCUGCGGUGGAAUAUAUAAUAGAAGAAAGCAGGCCAAAGGAUGGUAAGUUGCUUGCAAUUGGACACUCCAUGGGUGGUAUCUUGCUUUAUGCAACUCUGUCACGAUGCGCUUUUGAAGGAAGAGACUCCAGAUUCGCGGCUAUUGUAACUUUGGCAUCAUCCCUUGACUACAUGUCUUCAAAAUCAACUCUCAAAUUGCUCUUACCACUUGCAGAUCCUGCACAGGCUCUUAAUGUACCUGUUGUUCCUUUAGGGGCGCUACUGGCAGCAGCUUAUCCACUUUCAUCUCGACCUCCUUAUGUCUUGUCUUGGCUUAAUUAUCUGAUUUCAGCGGAGGACAUGAUGCAUCCAGAGUUGUUAGAAAAGCUCAUCUUGAACAACUUUUGUACCAUACCUGCUAACCUUAUCUUGCAGCUAACUACAGCUUUUCGAGAGGGUGGGUUACGCGACAGGAGUGGCACAUUUUCCUACAAGGAUCAUAUACACAAAAUCAAUGUCCCUGUCUUAGCACUCGCUGGUGACCGGGAUUUUAUAUGCCCACCUGAAGCUGUGGAGGAAACUGUUAAGCUGAUUCCUCAGCACCUGGCUACCUAUAAAGUAUUUGGAGAACCUGGAGGUCCACAUUAUGCCCACUAUGAUUUGGUGGGAGGACGAUUGGCAAUGGAGCAGGUUUAUCCCUGUAUAAUCCAAUUUCUUAGUCGUCAUGACUCAACAUGAUUGUCUGGGCAAUGGAACUUCACGGCACUGAGUGAGUUUGAUUUCCAAGCAGGGAGGAUGUGCAGAUAAAGCAUUCCAUGCAUAGAUUGUUAGCAGAAGUUGCGAAGCAAAGCUUUGUUACUAGUUCAAUUGACUGUGAUCACGCCUCAUGAAGCGGAGAGCUCACUAGUUUAAAUCUCCCCUUCCCUUUUCCCUUGAGGUCAAAAAUUACUUAUCAAAAGAAAAACUAUUUUUUUUUUUGUAAAUUAUCAUUAGAAUUGGUGAUAGGGUAAUCAAAAUCAAGGAACAAGGAACAAAAAGGCUUGCUUCUUUCCAUCAUAUAGCGUGUGGAUCUUGGUCAAUUGUGUAAUAAGAAUUUGUUCGAA